GACGAACGCUGGCGGCGUGCCUAACACAUGCAAGUCGAGCGGGGACAGUUGGAAGCUUGCUUUUGACUGUUUUAGCGGCGGACGGGUGAGUAACGCGUGAGCAACCUUUCCCAGACAGGGGAAUAACACACCGAAAGGUGUACUAAUACCGCAUAAGACCACGGGAUCACAUGGUUCUGAGGUAAAAGAUUUAUCGGUUUGGGGUGGGCUCGCGUCCGAUUAGGUAGUUGGUGAGGUAACGGCCCACCAAGCCGACGAUCGGUAGCCGACCUGAGAGGGUGAUCGGCCACAUCGGGACUGAGACACGGCCCAAACUCCUACGGGAGGCA
Molecule: ribosomal RNA, 329 nt
Filed under: uncultured bacterium
Lineage: Bacteria
Description: bacterial SSU rRNA
Rfam family: Bacterial small subunit ribosomal RNA
Source: RNAcentral